Molecule: ribosomal RNA, 434 nt
Filed under: uncultured Ruminococcus sp.
Lineage: Bacteria; Bacillati; Bacillota; Clostridia; Eubacteriales; Oscillospiraceae
Description: partial 16S ribosomal RNA
Rfam family: Bacterial small subunit ribosomal RNA
Source: RNAcentral
ACGGAAGGCAGCAGUGGGGAAUAUUGCACAAUGGGCGCAAGCCUGAUGCAGCGAUGCCGCGUGAGGGAAGAAGGUUUUCGGAUUGUAAACCUCUGUCAUCGGGGACGAUAAUGACUGUACCCGAGAAGGAAGCUCCGGCUAACUACGUGCCAGCAGCCGCGGUAAUACGUAGGGAGCGAGCGUUAUCCGGAAUUACUGGGUGUAAAGGGAGCGUAGGCGGGACUGUAAGUCAGAUGUGAAAUAUGCCGGCUCAACUGGCAGACUGCAUUUGAAACUGCGGUUCUUGAGUGAAGUAGAGGUAAGCGGAAUUCCUAGUGUAGCGGUGAAAUGCGUAGAUAUUAGGAGGAACAUCAGUGGCGAAGGCGGCUUACUGGGCUUUAACUGACGCUGAGGCUCGAAAGCGUGGGGAGCAAACAGGAUUAGAUACCCUGGUA